Molecule: long non-coding RNA, 562 nt
Organism: Talpa occidentalis (Iberian mole)
Lineage: Eukaryota; Metazoa; Chordata; Mammalia; Eulipotyphla; Talpidae
Exons: 3
Source: RefSeq, a predicted model, not a curated record
UUGACUUUAGGUAUCAUCUACCACCUUCAAUAUAUAGUCGUGCUACCUUCCUUUGGAGAUUUUUGUCAAAUUUCUUAUCAAGACCAACCUAUAUCUUCAGCCUUCGUUAAUGAUUGCAAUCAUCAUUAACCUUUUGCUUCUCAGUAUUUCACUUAUUUAUAUAUCAUAUUCUCUUUGGUCAAAUUAUUUAUUUAAAUAGUUCUUAAGAAACAGCCCUUUGGAAUUCUGUUGAGAAGGAUGCUUUGAACAUCUAAGCAGAUAUCAACGACUUGCUUACGCUGAAGAUUUCCCUCUACCUCUAAGAGAAUGUGUGUUCAGCUGCUACACCAUGUGAAAUACUAUAAUUGGAACCUAUUCUACAUUCAAAUAGAUAAAUUAUUAAUACUCUGGGCUGCUGUUAAACAAGCAUCACAUUUGCGGCAUUGAAAUUCUGAUUUGUCAAGUAUUGGGGGAUGUAACUAUAUUAAACAAUGCGUCUAUGUCUAUGUGUGGGGGACAAUAUUCUUUAGAAGGGGGAUCUUAAUCAGUCUCAUGUUGAGCAAAAGAAAAUUGUAAACUAUGC